UACAGAGGGUGCAAGCGUUAAUCGGAAUUACUGGGCGUAAAGCGUGCGCAGGCGGUUUUGUAAGUCUGUCGUGAAAUCCCCGGGCUCAACCUGGGAAUUGCGAUGGAGACUGCAAGGCUAGAAUCUGGCAGAGGGGGGGUAGAAUUCCACGUGUAGCAGUGGAAAUGCGUAGAGAUGUGGAGGAACACCGAUGGCGAAGGCAGCCCCCUGGGUCAAGAUUGACGCUCAUGCACGAAAGCGUGGGGAGCAAACAGG
This 255-nucleotide ribosomal RNA is filed under the name uncultured bacterium. RNAcentral describes it as "partial 16S ribosomal RNA". It matches the Rfam family "Bacterial small subunit ribosomal RNA", at positions 524 to 776 of the family's 1533-position model. The record is from RNAcentral.